CUCCGGAGGGAGUUGCGACCUGUUGCUGCGGACACCGGUCCAGGCCCGGAAGGGAGCAGACUUACUGUAGACGUUUGGCGCCCGCGGGAGUGCG
Molecule: non-coding RNA, 94 nt
Filed under: Methanosphaerula palustris E1-9c
Lineage: Archaea; Methanobacteriati; Methanobacteriota; Methanomicrobia; Methanomicrobiales; Methanoregulaceae
Source: RNAcentral